ACCUACGGGACGCAGCAGUGGGGAAUAUUGCACAAUGGGGGGAACCCUGAUGCAGCGACGCCGCGUGAGUGAAGAAGUAUUUCGGUAUGUAAAGCUCUAUCAGCAGGGAAGAAAAUGACGGUACCUGACUAAGAAGCCCCGGCUAACUACGUGCCAGCAGCCGCGGUAAUACGUAGGGGGCAAGCGUUAUCCGGAUUUACUGGGUGUAAAGGGAGCGUAGACGGCAGAGCAAGUCUGAAGUGAAAGCCCGCGGCCCAACUGCG
RNAcentral lists this ribosomal RNA (263 nucleotides) under uncultured bacterium. Its description in RNAcentral is "partial 16S ribosomal RNA". It matches the Rfam family "Bacterial small subunit ribosomal RNA", at positions 337 to 617 of the family's 1533-position model. The record is from RNAcentral.